This 6788-nucleotide long non-coding RNA is filed under the name Capsella grandiflora. Its description in RNAcentral is "long non-coding RNA (CGRA_LNC001418)". Lineage: Eukaryota; Viridiplantae; Streptophyta; Magnoliopsida; Brassicales; Brassicaceae. The record is from RNAcentral.
GUGGUGAUCGGGUUUUCUCUUUGUCAGAUGCCAUUUCCUUCAAAUGCUGGUUUCCGUAUACACAUAUGCUCAGCGAUUUCUUCUUUGGUGCUUCAACUUUUAUGUAUUCGUUAAAGAAAUCUAUCAAUUCUUCCUUCUUUAGCUCUCUCAGUGCAGCCACCUGAUUUACACAACAAACCCCAACUUUAGCUUGUGUUAACAUUUCUUUGAAGAAGACUCGCUAUCCGAGAAGGUUCUUAAUUCAGAGAUUGCUAGGAAUAAAUAAGUUGGCGAUAGGUGUUUUGUCUAUUAACCUCUGCAUCUUUGCGGUUGAACUUAAGCGUCCCUCUUUGAAUCUCUCCCCAAUAAAACCAGGAUUCCUCGUUCAAGUUCUUGGGUUUUUCAAGCUUCAUGUCUAUCAAAGCUGUUACGUUGCUCUGAGGAGGAGCAAGUCAUGUCAGUUAGUGGGAAUGCCUCUUUGCAACGCAAUGUUUAGUUCCAGCAAAUUAAAAUAAUAUCUCGUUGGGCCUUCUCACCUUAAAUUCCUCAUCGCUCAUCUUGAAAAGUUUACUCUCAAGAUCCUUGACUAGUGACUCGACCCUUGAAUCAAUAUGUCCAGGACCCUAUUAACAACAAACUCAAGGAGAUCAAUGCAUUAACUAGAUUGGGUUAUGCAAAGUCCGAGUGGCAGAGAGGCAAGACAGUUUGGUACCUUUACGGAAGACUGAAUAAGGAACUGUAACCCAUAGACACCAGAGUAGUUUCUGUGUCACAGAAACAUAAUUAUUUAUGGUAUCAGCGAGAACUCAGGAGCAUUCAAACGUAUGAUAAAUACUUAUGUACCUUUGAGAAAGAGAAGUGACGUAACCAAGUUGCUCGACUGUCCUAAGCUGGUGAAAAGUGGCUUGCUUUGCAACAAGUUUAAAAAGCUGAAGUUUUAUAUUCAUGGAAAACUCAUCUUGAUGAACCUGUUCUUGGCAAACAAAAAUUCAUGUUAGCAAUAAAACCAAGCUCUACAAGAAGAAACCUUUUGUACACUCACGAUGAGUCUAACUGUCUAAGUACCAAGAUCUACAAGAAAAGGUUUAUAAGACAUGCAAAAACUGGUUGAUGAGACCAAUAAAAGAUCUACUAAUCUUGUCGCAAAUAUACCUGAAUGUAAUGCACUAGAGCAGAGUUUUCAUCGUUGGGGUUUGAGCCUUCUUGAUGGUACAAGUAUUUCACCCCUGUUCCGAGCUCUACAACUCUGCUUGUCAGGAACUGGGAUGGAAGUAGAGGACGACAGAUAGGUUUUGGGUCAUUAAAGAGAACAUCUUCAAUAUGGUGGACCAUUGACUCAGCUUCGCUCUUCUCAACAUUUCCUGAAACGAGUUUCUAAUUAUUUCACUGACAUACUACAACGACGAACAGAGAAAGAAAGAAGGACCAGAAAGCAAAUAUUGUUGAGACCUGCUAUAUAGCACUCAACAAAUGUCCUCGAUAACAACAUUGGAACAAAGUUCGCCAAGUCUUGAGCUUCCAGACAAGAAAGAGCAUCUAGUUUCUCUGUCCAAGGCCAAGAGUGAUCUUGUAAUACCAUUGAGCAGUAACUCAUUGCUUGUUCAUAUGGUUUUCGGAAUUUCUUGUUUUUGUAUAACUUUGUGACAGUUUCCUAUGUAUAUAUAAACCAUAAGGAAGCAUGAAAACAUGGAGGAUUAUUCAACAAAUCUGGUACAGUGCGCCUAUUGGAUAAGAUCUACUAAUAAGGUUACCUUGAUAACAGAAAACCUAUCAGGUUUAACUUCGAAUUUUGCCAUCUUUUGAAUGAUAGCUUCCAGCAAGAUCCUCAAUUUGUGAUUAAAGCCAACAAGAUAGAGCUGGAAAUGAGAAACUGUUAGUCACACAUGAAAUUUAUUGAGCAAAAUGCACAAGGAAGCGUCAGCAUCCUUGUUCAAACGUACCUCAAAACCAUUGUCCGAAAGACUUAAUCCAUAGCGAAGACCAGCAAUAUGAGCAUAAUAAGCUGAAACAUAGAACUAUAGAUUGAUGAAACAGUAGUUUUCUUGAUGUAAUAACAAACUAAACAGGCUUAUCACCUUACUCUAGUUUUACUUCCCUCUCAUUACAACAUAUGUCAAAUGCAAUCUAAAGCAUAAGAGGUCUAUCAAAAUCAAAUCUUACCGUAUUCAUUCAAAUAGUCCUCCAGCAGCCGAACAAAAAUAUUUGAAAGAACUACAGGGUCCGGAGAGCUGAGUGCAAGGGGGCAGUUGAAAUCCAUCUUAAUAUAUGCCUUUGGUCUUAAGAACUUUGUAUCAGGCUUAUACCACAAUCUUGAGAAUGGUGUCUUUCUCAACAAAACAGGAAAGAUGUCCUGUUCCAGAUCAUUGAUUUUGUGACACUGCUCCUUACAUUAUUAUAAAAAGACAAUUGUAAAUUGUAACUAGAGUGAUGGAACUGAACCUUAUCCUUAACAUCCUUUAAUGAAAAGUCCGUAGGAAUGUAGACAUUUGGUGUUGGUAGCUGCAGCUUUACUUCAGGAGCAGACUGCACCCACUCCUGUAAAUUGUUAAGCACAAACCAAAACUGAACUUCCUCCAGAGUAAUAGAAAAAUAUUGAAUGGAUCUUUAGAAAAUUAAUACAUCAAAAGCCAACCUGAAUGGUGAAUUUGGUUAUCUUCUCAAGAGAAUAAGCAGUGUUAUACCAUGGCUCAACCUUGUCAGUUUGUCCUUCAAAUUUAUAUGAUGCCCAAAAGAUUCUACAAAAUAUAACAUCUAGCCAUGAGUAGUCAGCAUCUCGUCAGCAUUUCAAUGCUUCAACUACUUAAAUUAGAGAUCAUAUGGCUUGAUAGCAAUGGAAAUAUUUAGCACCGUCCUCGGAAUAAAUGAGACAAAUACAAUUUUAGCUUGGUUUAUAAGGCAUUUAAAUAAUACUAGGCAGCAAGGCGUUCCAGGAACAUAGAAUUACCGAACAUUUUUGGGAGAAAGCUCAUUGAGAACCUUUUCCACACUAGCUGGAUUAAAUUUCCAAGGCAGUGAUGAUCCUACCAGCCACUGUUUGGUUGGGUACUUCUGAAGCAUAAUUGGAUUAAAUGACAGGAAAGGUAUGAUAAGUAGAUUGGACAGCUGAAAAAUACUAUUACCGUCAUUUUCGAUGAAAUAUUUAUUGCAUAAGACAUUGGUUGUGUUUUGGCUUGAUAGUGAAACUCUGCCUCACAGAUAGCUGAGAGCUAUUAGCAACAAUAACAGAGAUAUCAAGCUCUAUAAGAACACUGCAUCAAUAGGAAUACAGAAGUCAUAGAAUUUGUACAGCUUAAUAAUACCAAUACCUCAUCGAAAAUCCAUUGGGAAAUACCAGACUGUUGUACGAGAUUAAUGUGUCUGAACAACAAUCCUAAAAUAUCUUGCAUAUGUUCUGUAUACCAAGUAAAGAAACAAAUCCAGAAAAUAUCAAGUACUGACUAAAACAUGAAGACACUGAAGCCAUCUUUUCAACAGUAAAAGAAAAAAAAGAUAGUUACAAGCUUCUGUAGAAUAUUAUAAAAAAAACACGAAAGAAUACAGAAACCCACCGUGGCCAGCAUCAGUAAGAGCAAUCGUAACAUUGAAGAACGAAUACUCCAUAGUCCACCCUGUUUCACCCGCAUGCAGUCUCGUUGCCCAACCUGUGGAAGUAUUAAUAAACAUAAGGCAAGAGAUUACUAAAUGCAAAACUGCUUGCUGAUACAAAGGUCUGUAUCACAAAAAUUAUGUAAACAAGCAAUUGAGCAGCUUAUGUUAACUAAACAAGCCAGAAAGAGAGAGCUAACUGAAGACUAGAAUAACAUUUCAAAACUUUCACUUUGGCCCAAAGAAAACCUACCCAAUAUUUUGAAGGCAUGAAACAAACUUCCUUCGCCUUCAUGACCAAUUAGGCGCGAAAUGUACUUGCAUGGUGCUUCUUCAUAAUGAUGUAUGCUAGGAGUUACAGGCCAUGAAACAGUAAGUUCGUGACCCUGCCUUGUGGGAACAGCCUUCACAAGAACCUAAGACCAAUGGGAAAAAAAUACCACCUUAGCAACAUUUUAGCAUGAAUUUAUCUUCAUCCAGUAUAAAAAUACAAUAACUGAAUUAAGGAGCAAAAACCUGCAAAUGGUCUAGAGUACACGGCUGACCAGGAAAUCUUGGAAUACUCUUGUCAGUGUUUCGAAUGUCCUGGAAUAACUCUUCCACUAGACCUUGAGUUUUAUCAAGGUUUUCUGAAGAGAUCCAGAGCAAUUAGAGAUGUAUAAAAUGUUAUAUAUGUUAUAUACUAUUCUUAUGUUUUCUGAAAUUAAAAGAGAUUUGAGUGGUGUGUUAGCUCCAAAACCUACCCUUGCCAUAAACAACCAGAUUCAUGAUGUUGGCAGAAUAGUGUUCAUCAUAGAAUUUAAUCAGCUCUCUCCUUAUAUCUAAUCCUUUUGUUUCGGGUUGAACAUGAAGAGUAUCCAUAUUACCUAAGCAAAAUUAUCACUUUCUUAGCGGGAGAGAAAAAAUAGGGAACGACCAUAGACUUUUCCUAUGGACAGCAGCCAACACCAAUUAAGAAUAGGUCGAACAUGAACCUGAGCCAAAUUUGUGAUAUGGAUGGUCUUCCCUACUUAAAUGCUUUUGUAGCUGUGCCAACGAAAAAGGAAGACAAAACUCAAGUGAGAUGCUAAAUACACAUCAACACAGGACUUGUGGCUUGUCAAAUAUGCAGGGGAUUAGAGAUAACUAGUACACGUUCAAAGGUGUUGAUAACGAAAUAGAUAGAUGUAAUAUUACAGUUAAUCCCUAUAAAUUUUCUUGAGAGAUAGGGAAAAUACCUGGCGCAUACGCCUAGAAUCAGACAACAAGUUUUUCUGAUGCUCUGGAUGAGAAAGAACAUGUUAGAUUAACAAAAAUCAACAGGAGAGGUAUCAAGAGAGUGAAAAGCUAACCAGAGUCGACAGCCUUGAUCUCUCUCAUGGUGGCAUCAGCAGACAUCAGUGGUUUGAUAAAGAACUGUGCAAACCUGGUUAGACAGACAAUCACAGAAAAAAAAAAUCCGACACUGCCAAAAGGCAGAUGAUCAGAUUACAUUAUUAGCUAGUAAGCGAGAGAGAGAGAGAAAAAAAAAGCAAGUGGACCUGUCCAAAGCUUCGUCAAAAGAAUCUGUGUGGACAUUGAAAUGGUAGUUUGUAUUUUCGAUGGCUGUAUAAGCAUUUGAGCUCCCUCCAUGCUACAAAAAAGAUAAAAACAGAGCAGUCCAGUUUUUUGUUCUCUCCCUAGCCUCUUGAUAUAAAUUGCAUGGAUGCAAGAGGUAACAUCAGUUUAUGUACUCAAGUUUGUAGUCCAUAGCAGGAGAAGAAGAUUACCUCAGUGACAUACUUGAACAAACCAUUUUCCUCAGGGAAUUUUUCACUUGCAUAAAAUAGCAUAUGCUCUGUUUCCACCGAAAAGUUAAAAAUAAGUGACUCUCGUCUCUCCUGUAAACUAAAUCUUAGAAGAAGAUAAAAGAAGAGUACCAAGGAAAUGAGCUAAGCCUUCCAAGCCUUCAGGGUCGGAGAAAGAUCCAACGCUAACGUUCAUCGAAGCAGCACACUAAGAUAAAGAGAGCACCGAUACAAAAUUAAUCUCUAGACUUUUGUUUCGUUAGUGUAUCGGUAAAAGCAGAAAACAUGGUUGAAUCGUCUAGAGCAUACCUUGUCAGUCUCUGGAUCGCUGAUCAACAACACUUGCAGCGAAUUCUUAAGUACAAUCUUCCGAUACUCUCUCUCGUCAGUGCGUGCCUUGAGUAUCUCUCCAUCCGCCGUGGCCAUCACCUUCCGAUUACUUUGUGAUAGUUGUAGACUUUUUACUAUUAGUCUUUCUUCGCUCUUAUAAAUGGUCUGUCUAACGUCUUUCUCUUUUUAUUUCCGAGAACAAGUAAUAUCUAAAUGUCUGCUACAGCCUACGUCUCACUGAUUAUAUAUCAACGGUGUAUGUUUACCCAAAGUACUAAGAUCCAACGGCGAUUACUUGUGAUGGUUAGUAUUAUGUUAUGUUCAACGUCUUUCCUUUUGUCUCUAGUUUAGUAGUGUCAUUAUCCACUGUGUGGUUGGUUAGAGUCUACGUCUAAUUAUUUUCAGCGGUGUAUUUUCUUCCAAUUAAUAAGGGUUCCAAGGGGCAACAAAACUUGAACACAUUUGGUUAAUGCCAAGUUGCCCAACUCCAUCGUUGCUUACUUUUAUUUUAUUUUAUUUUUGUUAAAAUUUUAUAUAAUAGGGACCUAAUAAAGAGUAGUUGAAUUUUAUUACCAUGAAAAAUGAAUAUGCUAUAAAUACUUAUAUUGAAUAACUAUGUCAUCAAUUUUCAUCACAUAAUUUUGUUAUUUUGUAUAUAUGACACCAGUUAAGUUUCAUCUUUAUUACUAUAUUAUUCCAUGACUUUUGUAUCUACAUGUUAGCUAUUUAAAUAUGACAUGUCUGUUUGUUGUAUAUCUCUCUCAAAAGAGUUAGGUACCUCCUCAAAGUUUCAACGACCCGUAAAGAGGUUNNNNNNNNNNNNNNNNNNNNNNNNNNNNNNNNNNNNNNNNNNNNNNNNNNNNNNNNNNNNNNNNNNNNNNNNNNNNNNNNNNNNNNUGGUUUCCGUAUACACAUAUGCUCAGCGAUUUCUUCUUUGGUGCUUCAACCUUUAUGUAUUCAUUAAAGAAAUCUAUCAAUUCUUCCUUCUUUAGCUCUCUCAGUGCAGCCACCUAACCAUAAAGCAAACCCCAACUUAUUCGAUACAUCGCUUGUAUUAAAACUUGUUCGUAGAAGACUCGUGAUGAAAAUACAAGGUUCUUAAUAUUGGUAAGAAGUUGGAAAGGAAGA